AUUGAACGCUGGCGGCAGGCCUAACACAUGCAAGUCGAACGAGUGGCGGACGGGUGAGUAAUGUCUGGGAAACUGCCUGAUGGAGGGGGAUAACUACUGGAAACGGUAGCUAAUACCGCAUACCAUCGGAUGUGCCCAGAUGGGAUUAGCUAGUGGGUGGGGUAAAGGCUCACCUGGGCGACGAUCCCUAGCUGGCCUGAGAGGAUGACCAGCCACACUGGAACUAGGACACGGUCCGGACUCCUCCGGGAGGCAGCGUUGGGGAAUAUUGCACAAGGGGCGCAAGCCUGAGGCACCAAUGCCGCGUGUAUGAAGAAGGCCUUCGGGUUGUAAAGUACUUUCAGCGGGGAGGCGUUACCCGCAGAAGAAGCACCGGCUAACUCCGUGCCAGCAGCCGCGGUAAUUC
RNAcentral lists this ribosomal RNA (406 nucleotides) under uncultured bacterium. RNAcentral describes it as "partial 16S ribosomal RNA". It matches the Rfam family "Bacterial small subunit ribosomal RNA", at positions 30 to 526 of the family's 1533-position model. The record is from RNAcentral.